GACGCUAAUACCGCAUACGUCCUACGGGAGAAAGCAGGGGACCUUCGGGCCUUGCGCUAUCAGAUGAGCCUAGGUCGGAUUAGCUAGUUGGUGGGGUAAUGGCUCACCAAGGCGACGAUCCGUAACUGGUCUGAGAGGAUGAUCAGUCACACUGGAACUGAGACACGGUCCAGACUCCUACGGGAGGCAGCAGUGGGGAAUAUUGGACAAUGGGCGAAAGCCUGAUCCAGCCAUGCCGCGUGUGUGAAGAAGGUCUUCGGAUUGUAAAGCACUUUAAGUUGGGAGGAAGGGUUGUAGAUUAAUACUCUGCAAUUUUGACGUUACCGACAGAAUAAGCACCGGCUAACUCUGUGCCAGCAGCCGCGGUAAUACAGAGGGUGCAAGCGUUAAUCGGAAUUACUGGGCGUAAAGCGCGCGUAGGUGGUUUGUUAAGUUGGAUGUG
Molecule: ribosomal RNA, 442 nt
Filed under: uncultured bacterium
Lineage: Bacteria
Description: bacterial SSU rRNA
Rfam family: Bacterial small subunit ribosomal RNA
Source: RNAcentral